AUGAAUCAAGAAGAUGAUGCAGAGGAGACGGCACUGCCCAGCGCCUGGUACGAGGUGCCGUCGGUGCUGCACAUGAUGGCAAUGCUCCGUUUAUCACGAGCAAAUUCUCUGCUCCUGCCAAAGACGUCUCUUGAAGGAUACCAUGCCAAAAGAACAAAUGCGCUUCUAUCGAGAUAUUCCUUAAGGCGGCCGGGCACCUGGAGUGCGCUAUGCAGCAUGUUCUUCCUAGGAUGUCGUCCUAAAAGAGGUUUUCCUGUGGACCUGUCUGAAGGGGUCCUGAAAGCUACCUGCAUGCAAGCACUUGGUCAGGCAAUUGAUAUUCGACUUGGGUUGGCAAUUGACAGUCCAAAGGCUACCCUAGCUGUCAAAAGGAGUCUGGCAUGUGAGAUGGUCAAGUGCUGGCAGCAGGCACAUGAAAGCAUCGCGGACAUACCUCUGCUCGACGGCUGGGGCGAAAAGCACAGGCUCUUUGUAAAGUGGAAGCACAUGGAAGCAAAAGCUGCGGCGUAUUACUACCAUGUGCUUAUUCUUGACGAAAGCAACACUGAGAAGUCUCAACGAGCGGCCGUAGCGGCACUGCAGUCCGCGGAGGAGUCCCUGAGGGAGAGCAGAGCCGUCUGUGAGGCCUUCCACUCUGCAUCCCCUUGUCGAGUUGACGGGGAGCACGAGAUGGUGCUCCCACUGCAAGAGAGGGAGCCAUGCAAAUAG
Molecule: ribosomal RNA, 708 nt
Filed under: Triticum aestivum (bread wheat)
Lineage: Eukaryota; Viridiplantae; Streptophyta; Magnoliopsida; Poales; Poaceae
Description: partial small subunit ribosomal RNA
Source: RNAcentral